This 879-nucleotide ribosomal RNA is filed under the name uncultured bacterium. RNAcentral describes it as "bacterial SSU rRNA". It matches the Rfam family "Bacterial small subunit ribosomal RNA", at positions 12 to 890 of the family's 1533-position model. The record is from RNAcentral.
UUUGAUCCUGGCUCAGAUUGAACGCUGGCGGCAUGCCUAACACAUGCAAGUCGCACGCGAAAGGGGGCAACCCCGAGUAGAGUGGCGGACGGGUGCGUAACGCGUAGGAAUAUACCUGGUAGUGGGGGACAACCCGGCGAAAGCCGGGCUAAUACCGCAUACGAUCUACGGAUGAAAGCAGGGGACCGCAAGGCCUUGCGCUAUCAGAUUAGCCUGCGUCGGAUUAGCUAGUUGGUGAGGUAACGGCUCACCAAGGCAACGAUCCGUAGCUGGUUUGAGAGAACGACCAGCCACACUGGGACUGAGACACGGCCCAGACUCCUACGGGAGGCAGCAGUGGGGAAUAUUGGACAAUGGGGGCAACCCUGAUCCAGCAAUGCCGCGUGUGUGAAGAAGGCCUUCGGGUUGUAAAGCACUUUCGAUGGGGAAAAACAAGCCAGACCUAACACGUCUGGCCCUGAUGGUACCCAGAGAAGAAGCACCGGCUAACUCUGUGCCAGCAGCCGCGGUAAUACAGAGGGUGCGAGCGUUAAUCGGAAUUACUGGGCGUAAAGGGUGCGUAGGUGGUUUGUUAAGUCAGGCGUGAAAUCCCUGGGCUCAACCUGGGAACUGCGUUUGAUACUGGCAGACUCGAGUCUGGUAGAGGGUAGUGGAAUUCCGCAUGUAGCGGUGAAAUGCGUAGAUAUGCGGAGGAACAUCAGUGGCGAAGGCGGCUACCUGGACCAAGACUGACACUGAGGCACGAAAGCGUGGGGAUCAAACAGGAUUAGAUACCCUGGUAGUCCACGCCCUAAACGAUGGGUACUAGACGUUGGGAGGUUUAUCCUCUUGGUGUCGCAGCUAACGCAAUAAGUACCCCGCCUGGGGAGUACGGUCGCA